Molecule: long non-coding RNA, 5292 nt
Filed under: Gadus morhua (Atlantic cod)
Lineage: Eukaryota; Metazoa; Chordata; Actinopteri; Gadiformes; Gadidae
Description: lncRNA (ENSGMOG00000024257.1)
Source: RNAcentral
GUUCGUGCGAUAUUCGGCGAAAUAAUCAAAGAUCGACGCUUGGCGAUCUGACCAACGUGGGUGCCAGCUGUAGCCAUGUAAGUUAUUAAUAGGCCUACUAGUAGUAUGCAUAUAUUAUAUCUAUUUAUUUCACAUAAAAAAAAAAAAAAAAAAACUAACUCGUACGCGCUUGUGUAUUCGUUUUGUGUUUAUGGUCCACGUAGAUACUCUACCCGUAGCACUAGCGCGUGUGGUGUAAAACAGUGGGCCCUUGGAGCCGGCCGUCUGCCGAAGAAAAACCUCAAAGAACAAGCCGCGGAUUGGCUUCUACCCUGCUCACCACCAUCAAAGGAUCAUCCACAAUAAAAGGGCUAGAAAGGGGGUCGCUCAAAACGCUUUUACCUCCUGAGAAUAUAAACUUGAUUCUCCAUGUAGUCAUAAACACUGAAAUCUCCAAGCAAGGGGGUGGAUGGUCUGUGACCGAACAGCCUGUGGCUGAGCCUGUGUCUGAGCCGCCUACAGAGACUGUCACAGUGCAACCGGAUGGGACCAUUCAGCAUGACCCUGAAUGCUCCAACCUUGGAGACCGCCAGUGGCCCCCACUGCCACCACUGACAGCUGAGGACCUCAAGCUCCUUAACGACCUCACGUCGUGGGGCGACUCACCGAGAUGUGAAUCGCUAUCGUUGGAACAGAUCGACCUCACCCCAUCUCUUUGGAUAGGACCCUCCAGUUACGGCCGUAGGGGGACCCCCGGUGUUGAGACAGCCUGCAGACACACAGCCUGCAGACCAACUUGACUCUGGAGCAUCACACCCCAUCCAAGACCCCCUCCAAGACCCACCGAGCAUUGUGAGUCCCAAACACCUAUGAUGCUGUGGCUACACUGCUACCAGCCAGCACUGAGGUUGUUGAAGAACACAGGUCGGGGGGUGUUGUAUUAGCUGUUGAAAAGAAUGUGUGGGUAAAUUAACCCUUGGUGACUAAUGCAGCGGAUGUAAAAUUCCAGAACCAUCGUCAUCAGUGUAAACUGGGCGCACUGGCUGGUAAACGUAUUAACCGUAGAUUCCAGGAUAGCGACGCACGGGCAAAGCAUGACCUCAGCUCCAUCAAGGCCGAGGUAGUGCGGAUUGGUUUUGCUAUUGCAUCCCUACAGCGUAAUCUACUGGAUAUCGAAGCAGCGGUGCAGGUUAACACUCUGUCUAUUGAGAGAGGAGAGAGGGCACAGUCGGGUCCGGAUGCUGCGAAAGUAGCGCGUAAAUCCUGGCUAAUUAAAGCUACGGGAGGGAUAAUGCCAGGGUUUGCCGGGCAAUGGCUGCAGAGUUGGCUGUGGUGAAUAAUUCCCUGGAAAAGCUUACGCUGAAUCGAUGACACCAUUGAUUAUUUGAUUGUCGUCGUUUUUUUUGUUGUUGUUUUUAUUUUUUAUUAUUUUUGUGGGGGAUUUCUUUUGUUAUAAACUAGAGCUGUCAGUUAAACGCGUUAUUAACGCCGUUAACGCAAACCAAAUUAAACGGCGUUAAAUUUUUUAUCGCGCGAUUAACGCAAUUAUUUUAUUAUAUUUUUUCUUUGUUUCAAAACAAAGAAGCAGUAGCCUGACUGCUAUGUUCAAAUGACAUUUGUUCAAAGCAGUCGUUUAAUUGCACUAUAGGCUCUUUUUUUGUAUCGUCCUGUUUUGAUCAGUGUAUAUGCCAAUGUUGUUAUCAAUAAAAAAUCAUUUGCACAAGGCAAGCCGAUGCACUUCACCAUGUUGAUAAGAGAAUUAAAAUGAGAAGAAUUAUGGGACAAAAAAAUCAAGGGAUAUUUAGCAUAGAAAAAUAAUUUGUGAUUAAUCGCGAUUAAAUAGAGUUAACUAUGACAUUGAUGCGAUUAAUCACGAUUUUAAUCGCUUGACAGCUCUAUUAUAAACUGAACGUAAUAAAACCUUUUUUCUUUUAAUACCUGUCUAAUUAACUUUUUUUAUUUAUUUGCGUAAAACUAUAUAUGUAAACUAUGAAUAAAACCAUGAGCCCUAGAAAAAGGAAAUUCAAAUCUGUAGACGGUAAUCCCAAGAGACUGCGUAGAUCCGGAGGUCAAAAGUAUUCACAUUCAUUAUUCAAGUAGAAGUAUAUAUACUAGCGUUUAAAGAUACUUCUGUAGAAGUUGAAGUAUCAACUCAAGCUUUUUACUUUAGUAAAAGUAUAAAAGUACUGGUUUCAAAAACUACUUAAAAUAUUAAAGUAAAAGUAAUGCAAGGGAAAAAAAUGCCAUUAAGGACAAAGCUUAGGCCGUGCCACAGGGGCCUAUAGAAUUACAAUCAGCUUUUUUGCCAAGUAUGCUCACACAUACAAGGAAUUUGGUCACUGCAUUUAUCCCAUCCGUGAAUUAGUGACACACACACAGCACACCUCUAUAGCACAUUGCCCAACUUCCCCCAAAAAUCAUUUGCUAAAGGCCAUCUAAUGACUCUAAUGUUAAUGUUGAAAGAAUUGGGAUGCAUCUGUUUCAGACAUAUUUAUGCCCAUUGAAAAUGAACGCAUAUUAGUACAAUGCAAAUACAUUAAAGAACCAUAUACAGUAUGUGUACUACUGAGCAUUAACAUGUGUUUCAUCAAGCGGAAGAUAUGAUGACUAGUUAGAGUUGUAGAGUUGUUUUUGCAUCCAACCGUUUCAAAAAAUUCUUCCAGGCACGGCCAGGGAUGUAGAAGGGUUGGCUGGUCUUCUUGGCUACCAACCUCCUCACUGGUGCUUGGUUGGGACAUUUCACUCAUCUACGUCUGCUAUUUCGUAGCUGGAAUGUGGCGCGAUUUAUGUCAUGUCAGAGAAUGUAGACGGGCCUCUGGUCAUGCGCAGGUGCCAUGGAUCGCGUAUAAACCAAUAGGGUUGUCAGAAUGGUAUAUGUUUCUAUUCUCAUCCAACCAAUCAAAUUCACUCUAUCCGAUGGCGCGAAUUAUCUGGAUAGGUUUUUUUUCUUUGUAUUUUUUUGAACGCCGGCGGAAUAAAAAAAGCAGAAAUUAAAUUGGAGUAACGAGGCUAUUUUUAAAAAAGUAAGGAGUAGAAAGUACAGAUAAGUGCGUGAGAAUGUAAGAAGUAGAAGUAAAAAGUAGGCUGAAAAAUAAUUACUCCAGUAAAGUAUAGAUACCCAAAAUUUCUACUUAAGUAAGGUAACAAAGUACUUGUACUUUGUUACUCGACACCUCCCCGUAGAUCUGAUAGUGGGGGUGGACACUAUGGAUGCAGAUCUUGAAGAGGUUGUAAUGAGGUAUGAUGAGGCUGUCGAUUCGGCUCAUUUGUCUGCUGCAUGUCGUGUGGGGGACGGGGGGCGAGGGUGUAGAAGGCGGUUUAGACAUUCGGGAUAAAUGUGUUGAUAUAGAGAGAACUAGGGGUGUGUUAAUCGCAGCUGAGGCGUCCCAUCCGUGGGGGCAUAGUAUGUUAGAGGCUUUAGACACGGCGGCAAGGAUAAAUGUUUCGAAUGAGCCAAGGGUAGAUGACGGGGAGGUGUGUGGGUAGCCGUAGUACUGCUAUUACUACGGCUACGGUUGAUGUGACUCAAUAAAUUCCCUUUUCCAUCAAAUAAUUUUCCAGAAAUUUUUUGGGUCUUUUAUGUAUGUGUUGGUCUUAAAAAGGUCUUAAAAAGUCUUAAAUUUGACUUUAAAAAUGGUGCAAGAACCAUGUAUGUAUCAUGGUUCUUGCACCAUUUUUAAUCAUACACCCCUCCUUGCUCUGUCAAUAACAUAUCCAUACCUUAUAUAUUCCUUUAACCUUAUUCGUGGAAAACUGUACGAACUGUUGCUGAUUAUCAUAUAUAUGUAAUUUAUCCAAACCAUAUUUUUUCUAAUGGUGGACAACCAAAACAGAACCGAUUCAAAUCCUGCUGUUAUUUGAUCUCCUCAUGUGACUGUUACUCCUUGCUCAGCGGACGUAGUUUGUAGGCUCCGUGUGUGUCUGCAUCUGGCUCUCGAACUUUGUUUCUAUUGUAGAAAUACAGACUCAUGUACAGCAGUUAGUUGUUCAAAAGCAUAUUUCUAUUUUUAAUUGUUCGAAUGGAAGUCCAUUAUGGGACCCUUGAAAUGUAAGUGUAAGCAUGAAUCUAACCGUAAGCAUUACGUGCAAAGUUAGCUGUGUCAGAGUGAUACACUGUACUCAUCUUGCUUCUGGAAACAUUCGACCUGAAAAUUGUAUGCGUUAUAAAUAUGUUUGUAUUAUAAUUGAUAAUGCCUCAUUUGUAUUCCUUUCAUCUAACCAAUUCUAUUUAGUGCUUGUACAGAUUUUAAAUUUUUGUUUUGAGUGUCCCAUUCCUUAUUCUGAGCUGAUUUCAACCUUGGCAUGACAGUUCUAUUUUAAAAUUGUUGAUUUACGGUAUACACCUUGAUUUAAUAUUCACACUACAUCCCUCCUUGCGCAUUGCUUCAGCCAUGCGCAUUGAAUGACAACCAAACCUAACAACGGUGUAGUGCAACCAAGUUGAAGUUCCUUUCCUUAAUCAUCUGUACAUAAACCAAUCUAUUGUGAAGAGAAAUGAAGACCAGUACAUACAAAACCAAAGGUCGAUAGUGGUGGGUCUAUGCAGCCGUUUUGAGACCACGCUGUUCUCAAAUGCAGUAGACCAGGCAUAUUCAACUAGCGGCCCGUGGGCCAAAUGCGGCCCCUCUUAAUUUUUUUUCUGGCCCGCAAGAGGUUGCAUGCAAAAAAAAAAUUUAAUAAAGGAGAAACAUAGUUGCAUGCAAAUCAGGUUUCUGUGUGUAGCCGGUGAUACUAGCCAGUAUCAGUACCCCACAAUCAGGAACUGGCAUCACUUAUUCUGACAAUGUUUGGCUCAACCGAUACAUGUGAGUCUAGCUUUUCUCAUAUGAAUGCCAUCAGAACAAGGGCAUGUUGCUCCAUGACCUAUGAGAAGCUGCAUAAGAGUCUCAGGAUGAGCCAAUCUAGGCUAACAAGGUAGUGCAACCUUUCUUACUGACUCACUGGCUCAAAAUGUCUCAUAUGUACAGUAGUUCUGUUUUGUGAUGAUUCAAACAACAUUGUUGAAUUCUAAAUACGUGUCCAAAAUAUGUGAGAACAAAAUCUUUCAUAAUGAUACGAUUAAAAGUGAAGAAGGAAGGAAUGCGUCUGACAAGUUUAUUCCAUGUAGUAGUACUAUACAUAUUAAGUUAACACUACUUUAAGUACGAUUGAUUUGCAGCGAUUCAUUCACGUAGUUUUACUCUGUGUGGCCCAUGAACCCCAGUGGUUUUCCUUUUCGGCCCACUUGUUAAGGAGGUUGAAUAGCCCUGACCAUAAACGAUUCAUGAGUGAGUAUAGUUGUGUGCCGUAACUUAUCAGAGUAAAAAAAUAUCA